RNAcentral lists this ribosomal RNA (497 nucleotides) under uncultured bacterium. RNAcentral's name for it is "partial 16S ribosomal RNA". It matches the Rfam family "Bacterial small subunit ribosomal RNA", at positions 28 to 507 of the family's 1533-position model. The record is from RNAcentral.
GAUGAACGCUGGCGGCGUGCCUAAUACAUGCAAGUCGAGCGAACAGACGAUGAGCUUGCUCCUCUGACGUUAGCGGCGGACGGGUGAGUAACACGUGGAUAACCUACCUAUAAGACUGGGAUAACUUCGGGAAACCGGAGCUAAUACCGGAUAAUAUAUUGAACCGCAUCGUUCAAUAGUGAAAGACGGUUUUGCUGUCACUUAUAGAUGUAUCCGCGCCGCAUUAGCUAGUUGGUAAGGUAACGGCUUACCAAGGCAACGAUGCGUAGCCGACCUGAGAGGGUGAUCGGCCACACUGGAACUGAGACACGGUCCAGACUCCUACGGGAGGCAGCAGUAGGGAAUCUUCCGCAAUGGGCGAAAGCCUGACGGAGCAACGCCGCGUGAGUGAUGAAGGUCUUCGGAUCGUAAAACUCUGUUAUUAGGGAAGAACAAAUGUGUAAGUAACUAUGCACGUCUUGACGGUACCUAAUCAGAAAGCCACGGCUAACUACGUG